GACGACGUUGACAUUAAGGCAUCAUCAGCAGAGUCGACCUCUAUAAUUAAGGCUGAACCCGGGAGAGAGGCCCAAAAGCCUCGAAAUGUGGACAAGAGCAACUGAGGAAAACUGUAUCAAUGUGUCGGAAUAAGACUUUGGCAUACCCAGUAGUAAAUCGUCAGAAAGCUCCCUAGGUCUUGAUGAUCUUGAGUGAAGAAGAAAUCAGCGAAGUCGUUGGCUGAUGGGUUAUUACGGAGUAUGGAAAGAAAACAAAAGGCGGGAAUCGAAGCUCCAACAUGGAUGGAGAUGAAGUCACAGACCCACCAAAUGAGCGUUGAUGAGUUCCAUUUAAAUAAAAUCUUGAUCGGCAGGCAGACCAAGUCGCGGCAUCCGUUUUGAGGCCCAUAGAGACCAUGCUGAGGGGCAGUCGGAGCAAAAUUAAUAUCGUAAAAAGAUACAUCCGAUAAUUUAUGAAACAUAAAUAACUAAAACAAAAAUACAAAUCAUUUGUCCGAUGA
RNAcentral lists this long non-coding RNA (500 nucleotides) under Drosophila melanogaster (fruit fly). RNAcentral describes it as "long non-coding RNA:CR44917 (Dmel_CR44917)". The record is from RNAcentral. Lineage: Eukaryota; Metazoa; Arthropoda; Insecta; Diptera; Drosophilidae.